GAUGAACGCUAGCUACAGGCUUAACACAUGCAAGUCGAGGGGAAACGGCAUCGAAAGCUUGCUUUUGAUGGGCGUCGACCGGCGCACGGGUGAGUAACGCGUAUCCAACCUGCCCAUCACUUGGGAAUAACCUUGCGAAAGUAAGACUAAUGCCCAAUGACAUCCCACGAAGGCAUCCGAAUGGGAUUAAAGAUUUAUCGGUGAUGGAUGGGGAUGCGUCUGAUUAGCUUGUUGGCGGGGUGACGGCCCACCAAGGCAACGAUCAGUAGGGGUUCUGAGAGGAAGGUCCCCCACAUUGGAACUGAGACACGGUCCAAACUCCUACGGGAGGCAGCAGUGAGGAAUAUUGGUCAAUGGGCGAGAGCCUGAACCAGCCAAGUAGCGUGCAGGAGGACGGCCCUAUGGGUGGUAAACUGCUUUUAGAAGGGAAUAAAGUGGGUCACGUGUGACUUUUUGCAUGUACCUUAUGAAUAAGGACCGGCUAAUUCCGUG
This 492-nucleotide ribosomal RNA is filed under the name uncultured bacterium. Its description in RNAcentral is "partial 16S ribosomal RNA". It matches the Rfam family "Bacterial small subunit ribosomal RNA", at positions 28 to 507 of the family's 1533-position model. The record is from RNAcentral.